GGGGAUUAAGGUUCUAGGCCAAAAAAGAAAAAUCACGUGUAACAAAGUAACACUAUGUUCCAGCCUAGCCUAAGAAAAUUCUACUAUCAGGUGCUUCUGGUGUUUUAAGACAGACCAACCAAAACUUGCUGAAAAAAAUCCUUAAAAAUGUGUAGGAAUAUAAAGCAUCACCCCAAAAUAGCACAGCUCAGAGGAGGGUUACACAUAGCAAACAGGUGAUGUUCAUGUUGAAAUGCAUGAGACGUGCUUUCACUGGAACAUGUUUUAUGAUUUUCAUGUCAAUCUAUUCUCACUAGAAAUGGCUCCAUUUUCACUGGCCAUAAAGUAUAAUCUCAUAACAUUUAAGGCAAAUAAUUUGUCAGAAAGAAGAAAAACAAGAAGUGUUCUUAGACAUAGUACCUGUUGCUAGCCCUUUCCCAGGAUGCAGGUGCCAUUUGUGUGGCAGUUGCACCGCUCUAUAGGUUAGGGUAAAGAUAUUGCCUUAACAACUCAUUAUUUUAAUCUCUCUUUGAUGCACUAUUGCCCUUGUUAAUCUUCAAUUCCCAGUUGUCAGAAAAAGAAGAAGUUUUUAACUCCAGGGAUUACAGCCACAGCCCACGGAAAGCAGAAGCAAGCAAAAGUCUUCUGGUACACCCAAUUCCCUCCCCACGACAGACAGACAUAAUUUUUUCAGAUGAGACACAACCCGACACUCCGCAAAACAAAAACAACAAAAAGUUGGGUUUUUUUUAAAAAAAGUGUAUGACACAAUGGAGGAAAGAGGUUAGUGCUGAGGGUAAAUUCCAAAUAGCUCAGCGUGUUUUCCUGGAUUGUCUCUUACGUAACCCCAAAAUUCAGGCUCGCAACAGCCUGCUGGGAGCAGAGGGGAGUAGGUCGGGAACUCAUUGACAAUACCAGGCACAUGUGCACAUACACGCACAGCCACCACACACACAGGCGACAAGAAUUAGGUAGUCCACUGCAAAUGUCAGCCAAUUUAUGUAAUAUCUUUUUACUCAGCA
Molecule: long non-coding RNA, 1001 nt
Filed under: Strigops habroptila (Kakapo)
Lineage: Eukaryota; Metazoa; Chordata; Aves; Psittaciformes; Psittacidae
Description: lncRNA (ENSSHBG00005011340.1)
Source: RNAcentral